RNAcentral lists this ribosomal RNA (343 nucleotides) under Salmonella enterica subsp. enterica serovar Infantis. RNAcentral describes it as "bacterial LSU rRNA". It matches the Rfam family "Bacterial large subunit ribosomal RNA", at positions 1223 to 1566 of the family's 2925-position model. RNAcentral also lists the same sequence under 5 other names. The record is from RNAcentral. Lineage: Bacteria; Pseudomonadati; Pseudomonadota; Gammaproteobacteria; Enterobacterales; Enterobacteriaceae.
GUUGGGUAGGGGAGCGUUCUGUAAGCCUGCGAAGGUGGCCUGUGAGGGUUGCUGGAGGUAUCAGAAGUGCGAAUGCUGACAUAAGUAACGAUAAAGCGGGUGAAAAGCCCGCUCGCCGGAAGACCAAGGGUUCCUGUCCAACGUUAAUCGGGGCAGGGUGAGUCGACCCCUAAGGCGAGGCCGAAAGGCGUAGUCGAUGGGAAACGGGUUAAUAUUCCCGUACUUGGUGUUACUGCGAAGGGGGGACGGAGAAGGCUAUGUUGGCCGGGCGACGGUUGUCCCGGUUUAAGCGUGUAGGUGUGUGUUCCAGGUAAAUCCGGUUCACUUUAACACUGAGGCGUGA